Molecule: long non-coding RNA, 882 nt
Organism: Mytilus californianus (California mussel)
Lineage: Eukaryota; Metazoa; Mollusca; Bivalvia; Mytilida; Mytilidae
Exons: 3
Source: RefSeq, a predicted model, not a curated record
AACUAUAAUACUGAUGCUCGAUGCCAAUUUGAUGCUGUUCAUCUAAAAGAAACAGUAAACCCUAAGUUUCGUUUGACAGAAGGAACAAUUAUUUGGCCUUUCUAUGAAGUUACUUCUGAUAAUUUUCCACCUAUAUUAUUUAUCUAAUUCCAGGCUACCCACAUCAGAACAACGACUGUCAAAAUUAUCCUUAACAACCUGGUACUGGCAAGACUGUAAUAGUGGAGAAUAUAUAUGACCCAAGAGCCUCACUAAGCGGAGUGUCGCAGAAAAGUAUACCGCUACCUCCUCCAGGAUGCGGCUCUAAUGCAGCGCAACUAGCACAGAUGCAAGGAUAUACAGUUAUAGGAACACAACAAAAUCUGGAACGAGACUGAUGGUGGGGAGAAUUUAUGCCUUUGUAGAUUAGGAUUUGAUUGAAUUCAUAGACAAUUAUUCAUCAACUGUUUAAAGUACAGCACAAAACAGAUAUGUGCUCUCUAGUUUUCUUGCAAAGAUUUGAUUAAAAGUUGUUAUAAAAAUGCCUUGUGUAGAAAAGAAAACUUGCUUCGGUUGAACUCCGAUAACUUCGUGGUAAAGCAAAAUAAAUAAAGCUGCCAUGCAUGAACAAUAUUGAUUUUAGCAAUUGAAAGACAAUUAACACAUUCAUGGAUUAUGCUGUAAAAUCAGUCAUUGUAUUAACCAUGUAAUAUUCCAAGUACUAGCUUUUUUGUUUACUUUAAAGAUUUAAUUUGAAAUCGAAAUUUAUAACACAUACACUGUUAAAUAUGAGAGGUCUAAUACUAGCACAUGUAACCUUAAUUACUAAAUCUGUAAUGUAAAUUAACUUGAAAGUAGGAGCAUUGUGUUUUAUCAUCAAUGAUCUUGGUGUAUUAGUUAUCA